Molecule: transfer RNA, 56 nt
Filed under: Cyrtodactylus loriae
Lineage: Eukaryota; Metazoa; Chordata; Lepidosauria; Squamata; Gekkonidae
Description: partial tRNA-Cys
Source: RNAcentral
GUGAAUUCACGCCAAAGUGCAAAUUUGGAGGAGUACCCUAAAAGGUACCGGGGCUU